GACGAACGCCGGCGGCGUGCUUAACACAUGCAAGUCGAACGAUGAAGCUGGAGCUUGCUCCGGUGGAUUAGUGGCGAACGGGUGAGUAACACGUGAGCAAUCUGCCCUUGACUCUGGGAUAACUGCGGGAAACUGUAGCUAAUACCGGAUACUUUCACUGGAAGGCAUCUUCUGGUGAAGAAAGAAUUUCGGUCAAGGAUGAGCUCGCGGCCUAUCAGCUUGUUGGUGAGGUAACGGCUCACCAAGGCGACGACGGGUAGCCGGCCUGAGAGGGUGACCGGCCAACCUGGGACUGAGACACGGCCCAGACUCCUACGGGAGGCAGCAGUGGGGAAUAUUGCACAAUGGGCGCAAGCCUGAUGCAGCAACACCGCGUGAGGGAUGAAGGCCUUCGGGUUGUAAACCUCUUUUAGCAGGGAAGAAGCGAAAGUGACGGUACCUGCAGAAAAAGCACCGGCUAACUACGUGCCAGCCGCCGCCGUAA
This 484-nucleotide ribosomal RNA is filed under the name uncultured bacterium. Its description in RNAcentral is "partial 16S ribosomal RNA". It matches the Rfam family "Bacterial small subunit ribosomal RNA", at positions 28 to 523 of the family's 1533-position model. The record is from RNAcentral.